GCCUAUGAUCUACAGUGCCCAUUCCAACUCAGAGAAUCUUUACAUCUGGAGAUCUAUAGCAGGGCUAUCCCUAGUGACAUGCGUGAAGAAGCUUGGAAAUGGUGCUGGGUAGGAGCUGAGUGUGCAGAAUGUGGAAAGGCAUUCUAAACCAAAGGAAGAACACGAGUAAAGAUGAUGAAGCAGGGAUAAGGCUAAAAUGAAAUUUGUGAUCUGAUCCACAUACAAGCACAGUGUAGUACAGCUGGAAUAUAGAGAAGAGCUUGAAGACUUAUGAGCAACUAUCCCGGUACUCUUGGAGGCUCUGCAACCACAGUUUGAGAAACUCCGCGUUCAAAGUUAAAAACUGUCACCUGAAUAGUUAAUAACAUCAAAGAUUGUGAAAGCAAGUAUAAAUAACACAGAGAUUAAAAUAAUGAGGCAGGAUCAGAAAAUGUCCAUUGCAAUCAGAAGCUCACCGAAUGUGCUUAGCUGAGUGGAGAAUGAUUUCUCGGUGUUGUAUUUGCUCUGAAGAGUCUGAAUUCUUGGGGAGGCAGAAGCUGGAAAAAACAAGAAGGAAGAUCUCCCAUAGAUUUUCAAGGUGCUGAGAAAACAGCUUCUAGACAUAUCUCGAAAGCCAAGUUUCUGAGAUGUAAUCAGAAAGCUGUAGUGGAAGGAAAUUUGAACCAGAAGACUGCAGUCCUGUCUAUGAACGUUAAACCUGUGUGGCUUAGGAAACGAGUCUAACCUCGUCUGAGCCUCAGUUUGUUCACCUAAAAGAUGGAGAUGAGAGCUCAUUUGUCUCAUUCUCAGGGGUUAUGGUGGCCAUCCAGACAUAAAGAAAUUAGAACGUUCAUUCAUCUGCAGAUGCUCACACAUUCCUACAGGAUGACUGAAACCCACAGCAAAC
RNAcentral lists this long non-coding RNA (886 nucleotides) under Homo sapiens (human). Its description in RNAcentral is "long intergenic non-protein coding RNA 2028". The record is from RNAcentral. Lineage: Eukaryota; Metazoa; Chordata; Mammalia; Primates; Hominidae.